GAUAAACGCUGGCGGCGCACAUAAGACAUGCAAGUCGAACGAACUUAAUUCAUUCUUUUAGAUUGAAGGCGGUUAGUGGCGGACUGGUGAGUACAACAUAAGCAACCUGCCUAUAAGAGGGGAACAACAGUUAGAAAUGACUGCUAAUACCGCAUAUGCCAUAAUAAUCACAUGAUUAUAGUGGGAAAGGAGCAAUCCGCUUAUAGAUGGGCUUAUGCCUGAUUAGCUAGUUGGUGGGGUAACGGCCUACCAAGGCGACGAUCAGUAGCCGAACUGAGAGGUUAAACGGCCACAUUGGGACUGAGAUACGGCCCAGACUCC
Molecule: ribosomal RNA, 321 nt
Filed under: uncultured Oscillospiraceae bacterium
Lineage: Bacteria; Bacillati; Bacillota; Clostridia; Eubacteriales; Oscillospiraceae
Description: bacterial SSU rRNA
Rfam family: Bacterial small subunit ribosomal RNA
Source: RNAcentral